GGUUCGAUAAUAAGGGAUUGCAAAUCCCCUAAAGUGAAGUAUCACUUGAACUU
RNAcentral lists this transfer RNA (53 nucleotides) under Celleporella hyalina. Its description in RNAcentral is "tRNA-Cys". The record is from RNAcentral. Lineage: Eukaryota; Metazoa; Bryozoa; Gymnolaemata; Cheilostomatida; Hippothoidae.